GUUAAUGUAGCUUAUCAUAGAAAGCAUGGCGUUGAAGAUGCCAAGAUGGGUCCUUAUAAACCCCAAUAGCA
This 71-nucleotide transfer RNA is filed under the name Ariosoma meeki. RNAcentral's name for it is "tRNA-Phe". It matches the Rfam family "tRNA". Rfam says of the family: Transfer RNA (tRNA) molecules are approximately 80 nucleotides in length. Their secondary structure includes four short double-helical elements and three loops (D, anti-codon, and T loops). The record is from RNAcentral. Lineage: Eukaryota; Metazoa; Chordata; Actinopteri; Anguilliformes; Congridae.